This 275-nucleotide ribosomal RNA is filed under the name uncultured bacterium. RNAcentral's name for it is "partial 16S ribosomal RNA". It matches the Rfam family "Bacterial small subunit ribosomal RNA", at positions 523 to 796 of the family's 1533-position model. The record is from RNAcentral.
AGACGGAGGGCGCAAGCGUUGUUCGGAAUUACUGGGCGUAAAGCGCGGGCAGGCGGUCUGUUAAGUCGUUUGUGAAAAUCCGGGGCUCAACCCCGUGAAAUGCAGACGAUACUGGCAGACUAGAGACCGGUAGAGGCUAGCGGAAUUCCUGGUGUAGCGGUGGAAUGCGUAGAUAUCAGGAAGAACACCUGUGGCGAAGGCGGCUAGCUGGGCCGGAUCUGACGCUCAUCUGCGAAAGCGUGGGGAGCAAACAGGAUUAGAAACCCCGGUAGUCC